Molecule: non-coding RNA, 93 nt
Organism: Mycena rosella
Lineage: Eukaryota; Fungi; Basidiomycota; Agaricomycetes; Agaricales; Mycenaceae
Source: the annotation of a GenBank genome assembly
UCGGACAUGGUGUACGGUACACACUUCUUUCCUUGUUAAAGCCUAUGACGUCAAUGACAGAGGCAGCCCGGGGUUCGACUCCCCGUGUCCGAG